GUAGCUAUAGUUUAACCAAAACAUUAGAUUGUGAAUCUAACAAUAGAAGCCCACAACUUCUUAUCUACC
This 69-nucleotide transfer RNA is filed under the name Ateles paniscus (red-faced black spider monkey). RNAcentral describes it as "tRNA-His". It matches the Rfam family "tRNA". From Rfam's summary of the family: Transfer RNA (tRNA) molecules are approximately 80 nucleotides in length. Their secondary structure includes four short double-helical elements and three loops (D, anti-codon, and T loops). Further hydrogen bonds mediate the characteristic L-shaped molecular structure. tRNAs have two regions of fundamental functional importance: the anti-codon, which is responsible for specific mRNA codon recognition, and the 3' end, to which the tRNAs corresponding amino acid is attached (by aminoacyl-tRNA synthetases). tRNAs cope with the degeneracy of the genetic code in two manners: having more than one tRNA (with a specific anti-codon) for a particular amino acid; and 'wobble' base-pairing, i.e. permitting non-standard base-pairing at the 3rd anti-codon position. Lineage: Eukaryota; Metazoa; Chordata; Mammalia; Primates; Atelidae. The record is from RNAcentral.